RNAcentral lists this ribosomal RNA (1273 nucleotides) under metagenome. RNAcentral's name for it is "bacterial LSU rRNA". It matches the Rfam family "Bacterial large subunit ribosomal RNA", at positions 1673 to 2925 of the family's 2925-position model. The record is from RNAcentral.
GCCCAAAUACCAAGGCGCUUGAGAGAACUCGGGUGAAGGAACUAGGCAAAAUGGCACCGUAACUUCGGGAGAAGGUGCGCCGGUGAGGGUGAAGCAUUUACUGCGUAAGCCCAUGCCGGUCGAAGAUACCAGGCCGCUGCGACUGUUUAUUAAAAACACAGCACUCUGCAAACACGAAAGUGGACGUAUAGGGUGUGACGCCUCCCCGGUGCCGGAAGGUUAAUUGAUGGGGUUAGCUAACGCGAAGCUCUUGAUCGAAGCCCCGGUAAACGGCGGCCGUAACAAUAACGGUCCUAAGGUAGCGAAAUUCCUUGUCGGGUAAGUUCCGACCUGCACGAAUGGCGUAACGAUGGCGGCGCUGUCUCCACCCGAGACUCAGUGAAAUUGAAAUCGCUGUGAAGAUGCAGUGUAUCCGCGGCUAGACGGAAAGACCCCGUGAACCUUUACUAUAGCUUUGCACUGGACUUUGAAUUUGCUUGUGUAGGAUAGGUGGGAGGCUUUGAAGCGUGGACGCCAGUUCGCGUGGAGCCAACCUUGAAAUACCACCCUGGCAACUUUGAGGUUCUAACUCAGGUCCGUUAUCCGGAUCGAGGACAGUGUAUGGUGGGUAGUUUGACUGGGGCGGUCUCCUCCUAAAGAGUAACGGAGGAGUACGAAGGUGCGCUCAGACCGGUCGGAAAUCGGUCGUAGAGUAUAAAGGCAAAAGCGCGCUUGACUGCGAGACAGACACGUCGAGCAGGUACGAAAGUAGGUCUUAGUGAUCCGGUGGUUCUGUAUGGAAGGGCCAUCGCUCAACGGAUAAAAGGUACUCCGGGGAUAACAGGCUGAUACCGCCCAAGAGUUCAUAUCGACGGCGGUGUUUGGCACCUCGAUGUCGGCUCAUCACAUCCUGGGGCUGAAGCCGGUCCCAAGGGUAUGGCUGUUCGCCAUUUAAAGUGGUACGCGAGCUGGGUUUAGAACGUCGUGAGACAGUUCGGUCCCUAUCUGCCGUGGACGUUUGAGAUUUGAGAGGGGCUGCUCCUAGUACGAGAGGACCGGAGUGGACGAACCUCUGGUGUUCCGGUUGUCACGCCAGUGGCAUUGCCGGGUAGCUAUGUUCGGAAUAGAUAACCGCUGAAAGCAUCUAAGCGGGAAACUAGCCUCAAGAUGAGAUCUCACUGGGACCUUGAGUCCCCUGAAGGGCCGUCGAAGACUACGACGUUGAUAGGUUGGGUGUGUAAGCGCUGUGAGGCGUUGAGCUAACCAAUACUAAUUGCCCGUGAGGCUUGACCAA